AAUCAACGCUGGCGGCGUGCCUCAGACAUGCAAGUCGAACGAUUAAAGCUCUCUUCGGAGAGUGCAUAGAGUGGCGCACGGGUGAGUAACACGUAAGUAAUCUACCUUCGAGUGGGGAAUAACGUCCGGAAACGGACGCUAAUACCGCAUAAUGCAGCGGCAUCGCAAGAUGACAGUUGUUAAAGAUUUAUCGCUUGAAGAGGAGCUUGCGGCAGAUUAGCUAGUUGGUAAGGUAAUGGCUUACCAAGGCUACGAUCUGUAACCGGUCUAAGAGGACGGUCGGUCACACUGACACUGAAUAACGGGUCAGACUCCUACGGGAGGCAGCAGUCGGGAAUUUUGGGCAAUGGGCGAAAGCCUGACCCAGCAACGCCGCGUGAAGGAUGAAGUAUUUCGGUAUGUAAACUUCGAAAGAAUAGGAAGAAUAAAUGACGGUACUAUUUAUAAGGUCCGGCUAACUACGUGCCA
Molecule: ribosomal RNA, 468 nt
Filed under: uncultured bacterium
Lineage: Bacteria
Description: bacterial SSU rRNA
Rfam family: Bacterial small subunit ribosomal RNA
Source: RNAcentral